AUGCCUACGGGGGGCAGCAGUAGGGAAUCUUCCACAAUGGGCGAAAGCCUGAUGGAGCAACGCCGCGUGGGUGAAGAAGGUCUUCGGAUCGUAAAACCCUGUUGUUAGAGAAGAAAGUGCGUGAGAGUAACUGUUCACGUUUCGACGGUAUCUAACCAGAAAGCCACGGCUAACUACGUGCCAGCAGCCGCGGUAAUACGUAGGUGGCAAGCGUUAUCCGGAUUUCUUGGGCGUAAAGGGAACUCAGGCGGUCUUUUAAGUCUGAUGUGAAAGCCUUCGGCUUAAACGGAGUAGUGCAUUGGAAA
This 305-nucleotide ribosomal RNA is filed under the name uncultured bacterium. RNAcentral's name for it is "bacterial SSU rRNA". It matches the Rfam family "Bacterial small subunit ribosomal RNA", at positions 335 to 632 of the family's 1533-position model. The record is from RNAcentral.